RNAcentral lists this long non-coding RNA (622 nucleotides) under Aquila chrysaetos chrysaetos. RNAcentral describes it as "lncRNA (ENSACCG00020003487.1)". Lineage: Eukaryota; Metazoa; Chordata; Aves; Accipitriformes; Accipitridae. The record is from RNAcentral.
ACAUGGAACUGGUUUUGCGACCGGAGGUACGGCAAUGCUCCACCUUGGCAGUGAACUGACCACAUCAGGUACUAAAGUCCAGUGCUCUAGGAACCACUGUGAGUGGGAGAAUUUAAAUGGGCUAUAAAACUGUGACAUUCAUUCAAGGCUUAGUGCAGCCAUAACUACAGAUUAACGCGCUGGCUACUUCAUCUUCAUCCUGUCAUCUCUCUGCUGCUUUAUGGGGAAAGCAGGCUGACAUGGUUAUUAAAUCUGGCAGCUGUGUUGUAUGCACAUGGGAAGCAAGUAGAGCACAGCAUAUAGAAAAUGAGUAGCUUUCAGAUAACAGCCUUCUUUUCACUGCUGCGAGGCUUGAAAGGCAGCCUAAAAAGCUCUUUCUCUUCUUUGUAAUCACCAGUCGCUGGAUCAGUGCGCAAAUAUCACAAAUACAGUUGCAAAUACCUGGACUUCUCAUUAAGAAACUCGACAGUACCUUAUUAUCAGAAGCUCAAACAAUUAGUCAUCAUAAAGGGCACCAGUAAGCCUGCAUCUGACCUGAUAAGAACAAUGAACAUAGCACGGUGAGCAAUGCAUGUUUUUCACCAAUCUCACUCUGUCUGUACAUGAAGACAAUCUUUAUGUG